ACCUCACAUGAUAUCCUUUCCCAUUUACCCUUAGAGCUAUUUUGGGAGCUUCCUGUAAAAAAGGAAGACAUUAAAGAGUCAUCGAGGAAGAUGUCAUUGAACAUAUGGGAUUUGAACAUGACUAUCCUUUGUGGUUUUGCUUCUCUGAUUGAAAGCCGUUGGAAGGAGAAGCAAAAAUGGAAGCAGGUACACUUCUUAAAAUCAGUACUGUGAGUCUAGAGCUACAGAUCCAGAGAUGUUGUCAUAGAGAUAGAAGUGUACCAGUGUAAAAUAUUAGCCAGAUGUGGUGGCACACACCUGUAAUCUCGUGUUACUAAUUCUCUCCCCUUUCUGUGCUCUUGUCCUGGAGAUGAUAAAGUGUGAAGUCAAGGACACAGCAGAAGGGAACAAACCAAAUGUAGUUUGUUAGAAAGAACAACAAAAAAAAAAGCUCUCACUCACUAAGUGGGACUGCAAAGGAGGACACUGAGGAGGUUCCCAUUUUCAUGAGUUCAUGUGUACUUUUUGGGCUAUUUUGGUGGAUGUGCAAAAAUGAAACAAUGCAAUCGCUCCUUCUAGCUAGGCUUCUGACAUAAGUAAGAACAGACUUCUCUUGCACUCCAGCUUCCCAGGGCAUAUCUCAGUUUAUCCAAGUCCUUGCCCUUUGAAACAAUGGAUUGCUGUGCUUUUGCUAGGAUUCUGAUGUUAGAACACACUCCCCCUCCC
Molecule: long non-coding RNA, 705 nt
Filed under: Fukomys damarensis (Damara mole-rat)
Lineage: Eukaryota; Metazoa; Chordata; Mammalia; Rodentia; Bathyergidae
Description: lncRNA (ENSFDAG00000030204.1)
Source: RNAcentral